RNAcentral lists this ribosomal RNA (225 nucleotides) under uncultured bacterium. RNAcentral describes it as "partial 16S ribosomal RNA". It matches the Rfam family "Bacterial small subunit ribosomal RNA", at positions 109 to 334 of the family's 1533-position model. The record is from RNAcentral.
CGUAACGCGUAUGCAACCUGCCUUAUACAGGAGGAUAGCCCAUGGAAACGUGGAUUAAUACUCCAUAGUAUUAUUAGUUCGCAUGGACUGAUAAUUAGAACUACGGUGGUAUAAGAUGGGCAUGCGUAAGAUUAGCUUGUUGGUGAGGUAAUGGCUCACCAAGGCAACGAUCUUUAGGGGUUCUGAGAGGAUUAUCCCCCACACUGGUACUGAGACACGGACCAG